Long non-coding RNA from Manis pentadactyla (Chinese pangolin), 901 nucleotides. RefSeq lists it as uncharacterized. The record is from RefSeq and is a predicted model, not a curated record. NCBI's taxonomy places the organism in Eukaryota, Metazoa, Chordata, Mammalia, Pholidota, Manidae. The transcript has 3 exons.
CAGGAUCCUGCAGUCCUGCUGACUCUGCAGGAGCCCUGGAACCCAGUCUUUAUGCUAUUGGAAUUGCUGCUGAGACUUCUGGAACCUGCAGUCAUUUGUUUCUGCUGUUAAGGCUGCCAUAACCAUGCAGCAAACACAGUGCCUGGCAGUCAUCUGCAGUCACCACUGUCACCGUAGCUGCAGCUGCUGCCUUCAGAACCCAUGAGCCCAUGUUCCUGAGGCCUUUGGGAUUCUACUCAAGCCACUUCCAGAAACAGAAGCAAAGGAAGACAUCCACAACAGGUAUGUGAAUGGGCUGAUUUGCUACUAAACACCAUGAGCACCCCUGAAGGAUGGAGCCUAAGAACAUGGUUGGCCUCCUUCAACAUUUUGCCUUUUUCUGGAGGCGCUGCUCUGGAACCCACGUGAACAGGGUUGGUCUUUCUGCUUGGCCCAAGUCAUUGACCAUGGCAGCUUUGCAUGGGAGAAUCAGCCACAGUGAUGUGACGACACUGAAGCAGACCUGGAAGAGUGCCAUGUGAAGAACAAGUUCCUGAUAAAAGCCAUCACCGACUUGGUAUUCCUGUGAGUAAGCCACCUGGGAAGUGGAUCCUUAGCUUCCGUUAGCAUAAGAUAACCCAGCUGUGACCAAUGCCUGACAGCAACCUCAUGAGAGAACCUGAGCCAGAAAUACUCAGUCAAGCUGCUCCCAAAUCACUAACCAUUGAAACUGUGAGAUAGCACAGUGUUCACUGUUAUGUUAAUUAGUGACAUUUGGGAGCCAUCUGUUAAAUAGCAAUAGAUAACUAAUAAAGCUGUGGACCAACCCAUAUUACCAAGACUUCUGGAAGCUUUUGUGCUUCUUUUCACUUCCUUAAUCUCCUUGAGUCUUCACUAUGAGUCUCUAAGCUCUUUCCCCACC